RNAcentral lists this ribosomal RNA (253 nucleotides) under uncultured bacterium. RNAcentral describes it as "partial 16S ribosomal RNA". It matches the Rfam family "Bacterial small subunit ribosomal RNA", at positions 524 to 776 of the family's 1533-position model. The record is from RNAcentral.
UACGUAGGUGGCAAGCGUUGUCCGGAUUUACUGGGCGUAAAGAGCGCGCAGGCGGUCGGAUAAGUCGAAUGUGAAAGCCCCCGGCUCAACUGGGGAGGGUCAUUCGAUACUGUUCGACUCGAAGGCAGGAGAGGGAAGUGGAAUUCCCGGUGUAGUGGUGAAAUGCGUAGAUAUCGGGAGGAACACCAGUGGCGAAGGCGACUUCCUGGCCUGUUCUUGACGCUGAGGCGCGAAAGCUAGGGGAGCAAACGGG